GGGGAUUUAGCUCAGUGGUAGAGCGCUUGCCUAGCAAGCACAAGGCCCUGGGUUCGAUCCUUAGCUCCG
This 69-nucleotide transfer RNA is filed under the name Rattus norvegicus (Norway rat). It matches the Rfam family "tRNA". Rfam says of the family: Transfer RNA (tRNA) molecules are approximately 80 nucleotides in length. Their secondary structure includes four short double-helical elements and three loops (D, anti-codon, and T loops). Lineage: Eukaryota; Metazoa; Chordata; Mammalia; Rodentia; Muridae. The record is from Rfam by way of RNAcentral.